UCGAGAGUAUUUAGCAAUGGGCGAAAGCCUGACUAUGCGACGCCGCGUGAAGGAUGAAGGUUUUCGGAUUGUAAACUUCUUUUGUCAGGGAAGAAACUUUUUGUUCUAACAGGGCAAAAACUGACGGUACCUGAUGAAUAAGCCACGGCUAACUCCGUGCCAGCAGCCGCGGUAAUACGGGGGUGGCAAGCGUUACUCGGAAUCAUUGGGUGUAAAGGGCAAGUAGGCGGUUUAAUAAGUGAGGGGUGAAAUUUCUCGACUCAAUCGGGAAACUGCCUUUCAAACUGUUAAACUUGAAGCAGGAAGGGGGAAAUGGAAUUCUCAGUGUAAGGGUGAAAUCUGUAGAUAUUGAGAAGAACACCGGCGGCGAAGGCGAUUUCCUGGUCCUGUCUUGACGCUGAAUUGCGAAAGCUAGGGGAGCAAACAGA
Molecule: ribosomal RNA, 428 nt
Filed under: uncultured bacterium
Lineage: Bacteria
Description: bacterial SSU rRNA
Rfam family: Bacterial small subunit ribosomal RNA
Source: RNAcentral